UGAGAAGAUGACCCAGAUCAUGUUUGA
This 27-nucleotide non-coding RNA is filed under the name Homo sapiens (human). The record is from RNAcentral. Lineage: Eukaryota; Metazoa; Chordata; Mammalia; Primates; Hominidae.